Molecule: long non-coding RNA, 2265 nt
Filed under: Sparus aurata (gilthead seabream)
Lineage: Eukaryota; Metazoa; Chordata; Actinopteri; Spariformes; Sparidae
Description: lncRNA (ENSSAUG00010008593.1)
Source: RNAcentral
AUGGCGAAAGCCAGGAAGAAAUCCAAAUAUAUCCGAGAAGAUGACCAGGAAUGGACUAUAGCAUCAUCUGAUGAGAGUCAAGACAGUGAGUAUGACUCUGAGAGAGAGGAGAUGUUCGCUCAGGGACUUGACGACAUCUUAGAUCGGUCACAGUCUGACAGUGACGUGGAUUGGGAGCCUCAAAGUAGGACACUCAGACGCCAAACCCCAUCUCCUGCUGAAGGUGGUCGGCAGAUGCGGCAACGAUCGUCUGCAUCCACCAGUGCUACCUCCCCCGCUGCAUCUUUCACUGCCCCCUCUGGCUCAGGGGAAGCUGCAGCUUCUACACCAACUGCUGGACGUUCCCGUGCUGCCAGACGUGCCCGGGGGAGGGGCAGAAGAGGAGGAUCCUCCAGAGCACAUAGCUCCCACACGGAGGAACAACAGUGGCAUGAUGUGGGGGAUGACGACGUUGAGCCUGCUCAAGUUGCCUUCAUGCCGGUGAGACAGCCCGGACCACAGCAGGAGACCAGAGUGGCAACCAGUCCACUGCAGUUUUUCAGACUGUUUUUCACCGACGCAGUGCUUGGGACUUUGAUGGCAAACACUAAUAUUUUGUUGAUAUUGGCACAGUUAUACAUACAGUAAUAGUGUAUUGAUAGAUAAUACAAUCCUUGUUUGAAAUUCAGUUCAGUAUAGUCUGUCAUUUUUGUAUAAUGGUAACUAUUCUGUAGUGUCUUGUCACAUGACAAUAUCUCAAUAUGGCCACCUAGAAGCGUGUGGAAACCCCUCCAACCACCCAUCAAAUGAAUGUGUGAAUAAAUUAUGUUUUGAAUCAUGGAGAAAGGUUUUAUAGUCACCAGAAUGCUUCAGUAAUGUUUCCAGUGUCACAGAAGUGAGUAAAAGCAUUUGGCACAAUUUGGCCAUUUGGAGACGUUUUGGAGAGGUUCAUGGACGCCAGUGACACCACAAACUAAAACCUCCAUAACUCCCAUAAGGGUAGGCCUAGAAGUCUAAAAUUUCACCCAGGUGUAGUUGACAAGAUGAGGAAGGUAUGUGCUAUAUUGCCAUAUGCCUUACAUAAAGCACAUCCUAGUUAUUGUUAUUCAAAUAUGACCUAUUAUUUUCGAAGACAAAAAAAAUGUUUUAGAGCUAUGUUUGAACUGAUGUCAUUUUGGUUGUGUGUAUGGUACAUGCUAAAUAAACACAUUCACAGAAACUAGAGGUUGUCAGCUUUCAAAUGGCGUAUCAUACAUCCAUCUCGGACUUGUAGUUCUUGUGUUAUCAGCUUUUCCAUUUGGGUAUGCUAAAUAGGUGAAGUUACUGAAAAUAGGUGGGUGCGAACAGGUUAAAGUUAUAAAGCCUUGAUGUUUGACCGCGAGGGGAAAAAAUGGUUUCCAUCGCCCCGCCCAUUAAAGCAUGUCGCAGCUGAAAGAUUUUAAUAACUUUUGUUCUCCAAGGCAUGAAGAAAAUUACUGAGUUAAUGUGAAGACUGUGGUGUUUAAGCUCUAGGACAAGAUAAUUUUCUAAGUCGGCAUGAAUUUGUCAAAAAUUCCGCCACACAUCUAAAUAACUGACUUCCUGUUGUAGUGAGAGUAAGCAUCCAAAUGGGUUUUUUGUGCGUCUGGUCAUGAUGAAGGUGCGUACCGAUUUGCGUCCUUCUAUGUACAAGUAGGAGGCGGGGCAUCACAAUAGGGGGCGCUACAGAGCCCAUACGUCACUGCCACGCCCCAUGACCACACAGAUCUCAUCAGGGCGACUCCCUCUGCAUUCCUGAGAGAUUUGGCCGAGAUAGGAAAUUGUAUGAAGAAGUUAUGAGGACACGAUGCUUUACGGCGAAGGAUUCGAAUUUCCUGCUCCACUGUGGCCAGCAGGUAUGACGUAGGAUAAAGAUUUUAAUAACUUUUCAUCUUCAAGGUCAGAGGAUGCUACUGAGUGACUUUGAAGUCGGUGGCGUUACAUCUGUAGGAGGAGAUAAUUUAAGUACGAAGAUUGUCAAUAUUUCAACAUGACGGCCAAAAUCAAAAUGGCAGACUAAGUAUUGAUGCUGAGAUGUGUUCGGGGAGACACCCUCUACACUUACGAGCAGUUUGGUGUGGAUAGGAAAUUGUAUGUUGAAGUUAUAAAGCCUCGAUGCUUGACCGCGAGGGAAAAAAAUGGUUUCCACUGCCCCGCCCACUAAAGUAUGUCGCAGCUGAAAGAUUUUAAUAACUUUUGUUCUUCAAGACAUGAAGAAAAUUACUGAGUUAAUUUUAAGACUGUGGUGUUUAAGCUCUAGGACAAGAU